GGAGGUGUCGCAUAGUGGUCAAUUGCACACGCUUGGAAAGCGUGAGCCUCGCGGCUUCAAGGGUUCGAAUCCCUUCGCCUCCG
RNAcentral lists this transfer RNA (83 nucleotides) under Minisyncoccota bacterium. RNAcentral's name for it is "tRNA-Ser". It matches the Rfam family "tRNA". From Rfam's summary of the family: Transfer RNA (tRNA) molecules are approximately 80 nucleotides in length. Their secondary structure includes four short double-helical elements and three loops (D, anti-codon, and T loops). Further hydrogen bonds mediate the characteristic L-shaped molecular structure. tRNAs have two regions of fundamental functional importance: the anti-codon, which is responsible for specific mRNA codon recognition, and the 3' end, to which the tRNAs corresponding amino acid is attached (by aminoacyl-tRNA synthetases). tRNAs cope with the degeneracy of the genetic code in two manners: having more than one tRNA (with a specific anti-codon) for a particular amino acid; and 'wobble' base-pairing, i.e. permitting non-standard base-pairing at the 3rd anti-codon position. Lineage: Bacteria; Bacillati; Minisyncoccota. The record is from RNAcentral.